GACGAACGCUGGCGGCGUGCUUAACACAUGCAAGUCGAACGGAAAGGCCCUGCUUUUGUGGGGUGCUCGAGUGGCGAACGGGUGAGUAACACGUGAGUAACCUGCCCUUGACUUUGGGAUAACUUCAGGAAACUGGGGCUAAUACCGGAUAGGAGCUCCUGCUGCAUGGUGGGGGUUGGAAAGAUUCGGCGGUUGGGGAUGGACUCGCGGCUUAUCAGCUUGUUGGUGGGGUAGUGGCUUACCAAGGCUUUGACGGGUAGCCCGCCUGAGAGGGUGACCGGCCACCAUGGGACUGCGGUACGGCCCAGUCUCCUACGGGAGGCAGCGGUGGGGAAUAUUGCACAGUGGGCGGAAGCCUGAUGCAGCAACGCCGCGUGCGUGAUGACGGCCUUCGGGUUGUAAACCGCUUUCGCCUGUGACGAAGCGUGAGUGACGGUAAUUGGUAAAGAAGCACCGGCUAACUACGUG
RNAcentral lists this ribosomal RNA (468 nucleotides) under uncultured bacterium. RNAcentral describes it as "partial 16S ribosomal RNA". It matches the Rfam family "Bacterial small subunit ribosomal RNA", at positions 28 to 507 of the family's 1533-position model. The record is from RNAcentral.